This 493-nucleotide ribosomal RNA is filed under the name Roseobacter denitrificans. RNAcentral's name for it is "bacterial SSU rRNA". It matches the Rfam family "Bacterial small subunit ribosomal RNA", at positions 394 to 905 of the family's 1533-position model. Lineage: Bacteria; Pseudomonadati; Pseudomonadota; Alphaproteobacteria; Rhodobacterales; Roseobacteraceae. The record is from RNAcentral.
AUGCCGCGUGAGUGAUGAAGGCCUUAGGGUCGUAAAGCUCUUUCGCCAGGGAUGAUAAUGACAGUACCUGGUAAAGAAACCCCGGCUAACUCCGUGCCAGCAGCCGCGGUAAUACGGAGGGGGUUAGCGUUGUUCGGAAUUACUGGGCGUAAAGCGCGCGUAGGCGGAUCAGAAAGUUAGGGGUGAAAUCCCGGGGCUCAACCCCGGAACUGCCUCUAAAACUCCUGGUCUUGAGUUCGAGAGAGGUGAGUGGAAUUGCGAGUGUAGAGGUGAAAUUCGUAGAUAUUCGGAGGAACACCAGUGGCGAAGGCGGCUCACUGGCUCGAUACUGACGCUGAGGUGCGAAAGUGUGGGGAGCAAACAGGAUUAGAUACCCUGGUAGUCCACACCGUAAACGAUGAAUGCCAGUCGUCGGGUAGCAUGCUAUUCGGUGACACACCUAACGGAUUAAGCAUUCCGCCUGGGGAGUACGGUCGCAAGAUUAAAACUCNAG